CUCUUGUGACCACAAUGCUUUCUUAAUGUCUCUUUGCUCCUUAGAUGCCUUUUGCAAGUUAAAUUUUCCUUUCCCUUGUUCCUCUGCGUCUUUGCCUUCGUUCACCUCCUCCCUUUCUUCUUCUGACUCCUCCUCCGACUGAUCCCAUGUCUCUGUUCCCAGAGCUUUUAACAUGUGCUUAGCCUCUUCUUCUGUUUUUGCAUGGUAAAUUUUUCCAUUAUUAAAGACCAAUAUAGAAUUUGCAGACCCCCAACUGAAGCGCAGCCCUGAGUCAAAUAUUUUUUUCCCAAAGAGGCGGAGCUUGGCACGCUGUUUCAAAGCCUCUGGAGCCAAGCCCAUAAAUACUUUUAUCUUAUGUCCAUUAAACUCCAUGUUUGGUUCAACUCUAAACUUUUCAUAUAUCCCUCUUCUUUUCUCUAGUAAACGCUACUAUUACAUUCUGUGGCUGUGACGAUUUUCUGAGUCUCUGAAUUAGGCUUCUAUGAACCCUCUUGCUAUUUUCUGAACUUAUCUCUAUGUUCAUUGUACAUAGCCAAUUAGAUAAGGCGACCCAACAAACUUCAGAUUUCUCCUNCGCUGACGAUUUGAAACCUCAGCUAGCUUCUCUGUCAGACUUUCUCCAAAGUGGAAAACAGUUUAAACUGAGAUAUUUUGGAUCCUGUGGAAAAGGUGAAAAAACUGCAGAAGAAUAAGUUACAGACAUGAAAGGAAAUUCAUCUGCCACAAUUCCCUUUUUGUUUAUAAUAUCAUCACAAAGACAUACAUCUUUUCCUCUGCUUGUGCUCUGCUGUCCAGUAAAGAUAAUGCAAAAUUUCAUUUAUCAACAAAUAAACUAAGCAGUCCAUUCA
RNAcentral lists this long non-coding RNA (848 nucleotides) under Salvator merianae (Argentine black and white tegu). Its description in RNAcentral is "lncRNA (ENSSMRG00000013829.1)". Lineage: Eukaryota; Metazoa; Chordata; Lepidosauria; Squamata; Teiidae. The record is from RNAcentral.